CAUGUGGGUGUGGUCACAGUCUAUUUUCCUGAUGUCGGUGUCCGCAGCAGGUGUGUUGGGAGGUGCUGAAAAAUGGCCGGGGCUUCAAACAAGCCAAACGGAAGUGUGACGAAUUGGUACGAACCAUACAGAGUGGAGAAGGCCGUUUUUGUCUUUGGACUCUGCAGACAAGGGAACCUGCCAACCAGCUGCGUUUCAAAGUGGUGCUCCAUGAGAGUCGUGCACACGGACAGGGGGGAGAACACAUCUGCAAAGCGCGGUUGCAAUGCAGGAACAUCUGCUUUAUUGGAAUGUGUGACAUGUUAGUCACAAUGCAUCCUAAACACACUCUCUAAAAACCUCAUGCCCACAGCACAAUUUUGAGAAAAAUCUAAUAUUUUUGUCCUUGAAGACCAUUUCAGAGUUUUUAAUGAGCUGCAGGAACCCUGUUCAGUGUGAGUGGAGAACAGCCAAGUCUCCUCCUCUGAUAAACCUCCACAUGUUCCACUGAAAACAGUUAGAUUAGUUUGAAUGUGAAAUCAUGGCUCAAACUACUUGUUCUGAGACCAUUUCUUCAUUUUUCACACCAAACUGUUUAAUAACACAAACGUUACACAGAGUUCAUCAAAUAUAACUAACGCUUUAACAUUAUCAGGAUUUCAUAAUACAAACUUUAAAUCAACAGGAAAACAGCUGCAGAACAUGUGGAUCAAAAUGAAUUCAUUAAAAAAUAACACGUGGACUUCAAGGAUACAGUAAAUACACUAAAGUGAAAGGAGGAGCCAAAAUUUGAAGUUAUUUGAAUUAAGUAAAAGUCACCUGUGAUCUUUAAAAUGGUCCUGAUGUGUGCUGCUGUUUUUACCUUUCAACAUUUCUUUGCUGCCACUGUGAAUACGAAUGUGUUCUUUCCCCAAUUAAAUAAAGGUUACACUGACUCACUGCUUCAUCUUCUGGCACAAACUGGUAUUAUAUGGAAGCACAGCCCCAAACCAGUUUAGCUUGAGUUUCUUUUUUCUGGACAUAAAGUCACAGCAGGUGUUGUUUCAAAACUGGUGGACAGAUUUAGUUCAUUUUGGAGGUUUUAAAAGCAAAUGCUGUGAAAAUAUUUGCAGUUUUGGGAGAAAAUGAUUUAAGAGAAGGAAUUACCACAGCAAAAGUUUAAAUAUGAAUGAAGGAUAGAAAUUUAACUGAGGUAACACAUAACAUGAAUACUACUACUAAACACUACUGUGUCCUAAGGGAACAAAGAAUAAAAUGUAACAGGGAUAACAUUUUAGAGAAUUAAAAUCCCUCAAAGGAAAAAACAUAAACUUGAUAUGCAUAUCUAUACAUGCAGCUUCCUAAAUGUAACAUUCAGGUUUAUUCACUGCAGGUCCAGAAAUCAGAGCUACCUCAUCAGAUCCAAGUGUGACAUCAGCUGACACUCUUUACAGGAGAUUCCAUCUGAACUCUGUGGAGCCUGAUCUCAAGGUUUUUAAGUCUGACCCUGAAACCAGAAGAGGA
Oreochromis niloticus (Nile tilapia) is the source of this 1482-nucleotide long non-coding RNA. RefSeq lists it as uncharacterized. Lineage: Eukaryota; Metazoa; Chordata; Actinopteri; Cichliformes; Cichlidae. The transcript has 2 exons. The record is from RefSeq and is a predicted model, not a curated record.